AAUUUUACUUUUAUAAUUUAAUAGUUUGAAGUAAUCACUCCGCAUCAACUGUCAGUACUUGACAAAAUUAUUUCACCGCUUAGAUUCCUCGUGUGAAGUCACUAAUCAUAAACUGUUCGACGUUCUGUUUCAGAAAUUCAAUGAUUGUUUCGUUGAAUUUGACGCACGCAUAAAUAGAUUCAGAACAUUCCACGAUAAAUUAAAAUUCGAAGAACACGGCGACAUGAAAUAAGCCUCUCACGUUGAGGCGUCAACGCAUCCUUCUUUUCCUUCUCCGUACAGUAUGUAAAUGUCAUCGAUUACUUUUUUUCUGUUCGCUUUUUUUAGGGCGGAAGAAAACAGCUGAAACAAUGAGGAUUCUUUUUCCAACUUUCCUGCGCUCAGCGAGAAAAUAAGCGUCAGUACUGAAUCAGACUCCGUCCCCUCUCUGUCGAUCGAUAAUAGCAUGAUAUUUAUUUUCAAAAAUAAUAGCAUGAGUUUUAAGACGAUUCGAGAUUGUGACAUGGAGUAGUGAUUAAGUCCGUUGUUGUAGUCUUUGAAGCGUUUUGUGGAUACUAGUUUCACAAGUUGGAUAUUUUGACCCGGUAAAGAUCAUGGAAACGCAUGUGAAAACAGUGCGUAACGGUGCGUAUCUUGUAAUCGCGGCCGUACUUUUGCUCAGUAUCCCCAAGUUGCCUUCGGAUUUAGUGUUUGAAGAAUACAGUUUACCCGAUCCGCCUUCCUUUGAGGGGAAGUUGGCUGUCAACGACGCUCUGAAUGGCGCGACAAGUUGUUCGAAAACGAGGUCCAUGCGCCGGAAUCUCUGGUCGUCUACAACGGCGUGCUGUAUACAGGGCUCGCGGAUGGCCGGGUAGUCGCCGUGAAAAAUGACGAACUCUAUACCAUCGCAAAUCUCGGGCGACCGUGCGAUCAAAUAUGGGAUAAAACGAAAUGCGGUAGGGCGUUGGGCGUCGACAUGGACAAACACGGAAACUUGUUGCCAUUGAUUGUUACCACGGUAUAUACAAAGUGAAUACAACAACAGGUAAAAAUUCUCAUUGAAACCAGCUAGUAAUCCUUAAAUUUUUUUCUUCGUAAAAUAAAUCUAGAUCCAAUACAAGAUAUCAAAAAAAUAUUUGAAUUCUAA
Molecule: long non-coding RNA, 1126 nt
Filed under: Bemisia tabaci
Lineage: Eukaryota; Metazoa; Arthropoda; Insecta; Hemiptera; Aleyrodidae
Description: lncRNA ENSSWEETPG007608
Source: RNAcentral